RNAcentral lists this ribosomal RNA (402 nucleotides) under Bacillota bacterium. RNAcentral describes it as "Firmicutes bacterium partial 16S ribosomal RNA". It matches the Rfam family "Bacterial small subunit ribosomal RNA", at positions 355 to 776 of the family's 1533-position model. The record is from RNAcentral. Lineage: Bacteria; Bacillati; Bacillota.
UGGGGAAUAUUGCACAAUGGGCGAAAGCCUGAUGCAGCGACGCCGCGUGAGCGAAGAAGGCCUUCGGGUCGUAAAGCUCUGUCCUAUGGGACGAUAAUGACGGUACCAAGGAGUAAGCCCCGGCUAACUACGUGCCAGCAGCCGCGGUAAUACGUAGGGGGCGCGCGUUGUCCGGAAUGACUGGGCGUAAAGGGUACGUAGGCGGCCAGGUAAGUCAGGUGUGAAAGUCUAGGGAUCAACCCUAGUGAGCACUUGAAACUGCGUGGCUUGAGUCGAGGAGAGGAAGGUGGAAUUCCUGGUGUAGAGGUGAAAUGCGUAGAUAUCAGGAGGAAUACCAGGGGCGAAGGCGACCUUCUGGCCUUGGACUGACGCUGAGGUAAGAAAGCGUGGGGAGCAAACAGG